CCAAGGAUGGCUCAGUGCCGCUCAGACGCCGGACGAGGGAGGCUCACACAGGAGAGCUACUUGGACUUCCAUGGCUUACUGGAGAACUCCUUAAAGUCCUUUCUGGAAGACAUUUCAUGGCUGGAAUUGCGAAUUUGGGUGAAGUAUUUACGAGAGCUGUUUAGUGCGUGCUCACGGGUCAAGGAUUUGUAUGUAUUUCUUUAUUUUCCGGUGACUGUUUACGGUGCAAACACAAGUGGAUCGUGAUGGCAACAUGCGGAGGAUUUAACAGAACCACCGGUGAUCAUUUUGUGGAAUACAAAGGAGUCCUCACCUCUUACCUUUUAAGUCCAGCCUGGAGUCCGCUGGGCCACAGCGGACAUGUGGGACUGUCUUGGGAUACUCCUUCCUUAUACACGAAUAUUGUCGUGGAUGGGAUUUAAUAUCUUGGAAUAUAUACGGAGCACCUCGUGAUCAGCAGAUGAUAUCAGGUGAGCAUGAGCACAUUGGAAACCAGAUCUCAUGGAGUUCCCCAGGAUCAGGCUAAAUCCUGGUUUUGGACUGUGUGGACAUGCACGACCGUCCGCAGAUGUUUUCUCCUGGCAAGGCGUCAGGCGGCAUGCGCUCCAUCACUGACAGUCUCGCCCUCAAGAUCCAGCGUCAGCUACUUGGAUGGAGAGAAGCUUUGACAUAAACCCAGCAGGACGGUGGAGAGGAUUCGAUUUCGCAGACAUUAUGAGACAGAUCAGUCAAGCCCCGUCUGGAGCUGGAAAAGGGAAGCCAAGUCGGCGAAUGCGCUGUAAGUGUACCUUGGUUAACCACAAUGGACGGACAUAUUGUUUGACUUAUUCUACACUGAGCCUGGAUUAAUAUUUUCCCGUGUGGACAUCUGCUUUUCAUACUCGCGCUGUAGCUCAGCGCCGUCCGUGUCACAUCCGCUGCGUUAUCCGAGCGACAUCAACAAGCGCUGGAACUGUGAAAGGAAAAUAAUCAGAAGUUAAUCUGAGCCAGUAUUUAGAGCGCUUUGACUGGUCAAGGCCAGAUGAGGACCACGCAAGAAACUGGACCAGUCACAUGCUCUGCGUUUUCACUGCCAAUUAAUCUGAACUCAAUCCCUUGGUUUAGUGCGGACGAAAUAGAAUUAGGAAACUGCUGCCUGGUGUUUGAUGGAGUCAUAAAUGUUGAGGUUAGGAUGUGGCUUUACAUGCCAGUGUGCCGCUAAGACAACUUUAUAUCUCCCGAGUUGUUUGUAAGACAUGGCAUAUGCUAACUGUACGCUAUCUGUACGCUAUCAGUACGCUAUCAGUACGUUAUCUGUACGCUAACUGUAUGCUAUCUGUACGCUAUCAGUACGCUAUCAGUACGCUAUCUGUACGCUAACUGUAUGCUAUCUGUACGCUAUCUGUACGCUAUCAGUACGCUAUCAGUACGCUAACUGUACGCUAACUGUACGUUAUCUGUACGCUAUCAGUAUGCUAUCUGUACGCUAACUGUACGCUAUCUGUACGCUAACUGUACGCUAUCAGUACGCUAACUGUACGCUAUCUGUACGCGAACUGUACGCUAACUGUACGCUAUCAGUACGUUAUCAGUAUGCUACCUAUUUAGCCACUAUUUACUUGCACUUGUUGUGUUUGUAACAUUAUUGCUGUGAAUUCAACAGUGUAUGCAUCAUCCCCCGUUUGCUGCAAUGAAACCUCCUAAAAGAAGCAUAUCAUGCCUUGUCAUCUGCUUUGUCUCAAUGAAUCUAUGGCACUUUUUCAAAAAGAAUAAAUACGUGAUGACUGUUUUGUGGUUGACUUAUGGCGCAUUAGCCCCAAACAUAGAAAGACAAGUUAUACUGUAUGUAGCAUUGCGCCCACUAGCAUCAGUGCUCUUAUGAGACAAGACGUUAGAUUACAUCACCUGGGCCAGCAAGCCUGGAGGGGUCUCCUCUCACUCUGUGUGGAAGUGGUAAGUUUUUGGCUUCUUUGUCCAUUUGAAACACUAAGUUUAGAAUAAGUGAAUGGGAGAGUUGAACUACGGUGUCAGUCUGUUGUGUCCCUGCAGAGAUCCCGUAGCCUGCGCAAUGUGAUGUAAAGAAUACUAAGAGGAGUGUAAAGGUGGCUGUAGGGGUGUUAGUUCAUGUCUACGGGGCUCUAAUGUUAAAAUCAAGUCAUCAACAAUAUGCUCCAACUACGAAAAGAUUCUGUUUAUUAAUACUGAAUCCGACUUGGCGGAAAUUCACUUAUGUUGAUGAUAGUUUGCUGCCGUGUGACGGCUACGGGGUCUUGAUGAUCCCGCAACAGGCUGCCUUUCCUUUUCCUCUUUUUCCGGGCUUUAUUUCGGUUCCUGACAGUCCUCUGACAAAUCCUCCAAAGAGUUCGUUCGAUCAACGACGGGGUCACUGGCACGGGAAAAACAAAAUGUUUUGGAAGUUGAGCCUCAUGACAUCUUAAUACCCCCCCCCCCAAACAUUAGCAUGACCACAAUGCACUACCCUGCUAACCUCCCCCCCAGCUUUGUUUUUCCUCACACUCACACACACACACACACACACACACACACACACCCCCCCCCACACACACACACACACGCACACGCACACACACACACACCCCCACACACCCCCACACACACACUGCAGGGGAAGAAAAUGACCUCCCAAUUCAGUGCACUUGUUUAGUCCUCAAUGGAGCGGCUCAACAAAAGGUGACAUCAUUUUCUCAGGGUUUGAUUGGACACCUCCCCCCACCCCCCUAGCCAUGGAAUGACAUCAUGCGACCCAACAACCCCCCCACCGUCGCUGAUGUUCUUGGAUGCUGUGUUGCCAAGACAACGGUGCGCGGCCCAGGAAAGGGGCGGUACUUGGCAGCACGCUCCGCCCGCCAGCCCAUAAUGAGCUCCGGCGGACUUUCCUUUGUCCUUCAAGUAAGCAAUCACGGACAUGAUGGAGUCAGCCCACAUCAAUUAGUGGGCAAAGUGCGGAGUCACCAACACACCAGGUUGGUGAGCUUCGUUUCCUACUAAAUAAAACGUUGAGACUGAAACGCUGAAACUUCACUUUUUCUUGUUUUGUUGGAAGAGUACAGUAGUUUAGAACAAUAAAACAAUAACCAUGCCCAAAAGUGUUACAGCCUUAUACUUAUAAUAUGAUAACCAGGUCUGAAUUUGAAAAUAUUCUCACCAUUUUGGCAAAUAAAGCGUAAAAAUGUGUGCUGGCGCAACAGCAAGACUUGACUGAAGCUACAUGCUAAUGCACAGGCAGCAAUUAUUUAACCGCUAUACAUUAUUCUAGGCCACAAUGUGACAUUUGUGGCCUUAUGACAUGAUAAUUGAAUUUAAAAAUCUCACCCUUUCGCAAAUGAACAGUAAAAUUAGCAACAGCAAAACAUGAUUAGAUGUGAAUGCAGAAGAACAGUUACACAACUACUGUAGGUACUAUUUUGGAUUAUUUUCUAUUGAAAUGUGAACAGGCCGGGCUUAUAACUUGAUAUUAAUAAUAUUUGCAACUGAUCAUUUUAGCGAGUAAGCGCAUGUUAUCAGUAAUACUAGCUGUGAUGCUAAAGCACAAAAACACUUACAUACCAACAACAACAAUGCCAACAAUUAAGCUUUGUUUUCUGCCAGAAUAAGAAACACCUUCUCAUAAUUAAUUAUCAUUAAUUAUAAUUAUAAUUAUAAUUAUAAUUAUAAUGAAUUAUCCAAAUUUGUACGACCACUUCAUGCAACUUGAAACAGUAAUGUUCUGGCUAGCUAAUGCUAGCUCAUUACAACAGGUUAUCAUCAUCCUGUUGCCAACACAUCUUUUCCACCUGACGGUAAUCCCCCAAACAAUUUGAUACUAGCAUGAAUACAACAGAAACAGCAGCAAAGCUAGAUGCUAAUGCAUGCUAGCACAUCAAGCUAACCCAAAAUAGCAUGAAUUGCUAAAACAGAGUGAAACUAGUGGCUCUGUAACGUGACGAUAGACCACCACGUCUUAAAAUAACACAUUUCUGAUCAUCAAGAAAUACACACAAGCCUAAGAGUAAUAUUAGCCUGAUGCUAAUGCUAACAACAAGAGUGGUGUCCUGGUUAGUCUACCCAUCAUACUGUAUAUACACUUCAAAAUCAGCUAAUUAUCCAUUAUCUGCUCAUACAAAGUGAGGAUGUAGCUAGCGGAUGUAUAACAUCCUCAUGAAACCAUGUUCUAAAAUGCACUUCUGACCAUUUUAAACAGUGAAAUUAGCCUGAUGCUAAUGCUAAUACAACAUGGCAGGUAUCCUAGCUUGUUCAGCCAUAUUAUGGAGUGCUACAGCAAGCGAUUAUCUUUAUUAAAAAAAGGUACAGUACAUGUUGAUGAAGGUGCACUCAUAAGAGUGAGUGUCUUCAGUAUCACGCUGACACCGAUGGCGAUAUCCACUUGGAAAUGUUUUGAAUGGGAUAAUUGGAAGUGAGCUUGACACGCAGCACGGAGCCAAACCUCACUGCUUCCAAAAAAAACCUCCUUGAAGCCGACUCCAAAUAAAAUGGAGCCGCAUCCGAGGGAGAAAUGACACAGCUAACCGCGCCUGGAGCGGGUCCAGCCGUCAUGUUAUGGAGCUGAGUAGGCCGUGCUCGUACGAAAUACCUCGUCUUUCCCACGCGUGCGCCGCUCUUUGUCUUGACCACUUGUGCCGCUUGCAGGCCUUCUUUCCCGUUAUGUGACGUGAUGUGAUUCAUGGUGCCGGCCCCUCCUUUCUGGGGGCCGUGUGGGAGAGAGUGCGUUUUUUGGGGCUUGGGCGAGUACCCGGGCUGGGUAUCGGUUACCUCCGGCAGGCCUGAGGCUGCGCAGGCGCCCGCUGACCAGGACGUCCAUCUACUCUGCUCUGGUGGGAAUCACUUCAGACACGCAGGCCGUGACUCCGUGUCUCCGCAUCGCUACGGUAAGCCCUCGUUUAUCACUGUUAGCUGAACACAGGCCAUGACUUGUAACGUGGGAUGGAGUUCCCUUACGUGUCUCCGCAUCGCUGCAUCGCUCCUAUUAGCCAAUACAGUAGACAUAAUAAGAGAAAAUAAGACAUUAGACAUAAACAAGACACAAUAUAGACUCACAUGUUAGCAUUAGAAGACUUCCUUGUUACUACUACGAGUACUGCUACUACUACUACUACCACACAUGCUGCGUAUCACAACAUCUUUGAAUGCACCGUAAUUAGCAAAAACUAAAUCAAAGUUCAAGCUUGAGAUAUUUCUGGCCUACAUGAAGCAUUUUCAAGCAUACAAAUGACCAAUUGAACUAAGAACAAAUAAAUGCAAGGCAUUCAGACGACGCAUUGAAAGACCUGAUGUGUCGUACUCCACACUGGCCACCAGGUGGCAGUAAUGUUACCUUCAUGCUAGACAUACUUGUAUGCUAUAAGGUAGCCAGGGAGGAAGGUAACCAGGGAGGAAGGUAGCCAGGGAGGAAGGUAACCAGGGAGGAAGGUAACCAGGGAGGAAGGUAACCAGGGAGGAAGGUAGCCAGGGAGGAAGGUAGCCAGGGAGGAAGGUAGCCAGGGAGGAAGGUAGCCAGGGAGGAAGGUAGCCAGGGAGGAAGGUAACCAGGGAGGAAGGUAGCCAGGGAGGAAGGUAGCCAGGGAGGAAGGUAGCCAGGGAGGAAGUACAAAUAAAUCCUUAGCAUGUUGCAGGUGGUGGGGGCUGCCAAGGUGACCUGCAUCGCCAAGCAGCUCUCAUCUGUGCACGACCCUCUCCAUCCCGCUCUUAAUCCCCGCUGGGACGUGGAGGGGUGACUCAGGAAGCAGGAUGAUGAGGAUGGAGGGGGAUGGGUUGGGGCGGGGGGGCAUGGAGCAGGCCAAAGGCUCCUCUGC
This is a long non-coding RNA of Dunckerocampus dactyliophorus (ringed pipefish), 5789 nucleotides long. RefSeq lists it as uncharacterized. The transcript is spliced from 3 exons. The record is from RefSeq and is a predicted model, not a curated record. NCBI's taxonomy places the organism in Eukaryota, Metazoa, Chordata, Actinopteri, Syngnathiformes, Syngnathidae.